CACGGAGUUAGCCGAUGCUUUUUCUUCAGGUACUCUCACAGCAGGUCCCGACCCGCCUCUUGCUCCCUGACAAAAGAGGUUUACAACCCGUAGGGCCGUCUUCCCUCACGCGACUUGGCUGGUUCAGCCUCCCGGCCAUUGACCAAUAUUCCCCACUGCUGCCUCCCGUAGGAGUCUGGUCCGUGUCUCAGUACCAGUGUGGGGGACCUUCCUCUCAGAACCCCUACGCAUCGUCGCCUCGGUGGGCCGUUACCCCGCCGACUAGCUAAUGCGCCGCAUGGCCAUCCGCAGCCGAUGAAUCUUUAACCGCCGAGGGAUGCCCCUCCGCGGUGUUACGCGGUAUUAGACGGAAUUUCUCCGCUUACUCCCCCUGCUGCGGGCAGGUUCCAUACGUGUUACUCACCCGUGCGCCGGUCGCCGGCAGGAGCAUGCUGCCUCCCCGCUCGCCCUCGACUUGCAUGUGUUAACGCCUGUCGCUAGCGUUCAUCCUGACGCCAGGUACUACAAACUCU
This 512-nucleotide ribosomal RNA is filed under the name uncultured Bacteroidales bacterium. RNAcentral describes it as "partial 16S ribosomal RNA". The record is from RNAcentral. Lineage: Bacteria; Pseudomonadati; Bacteroidota; Bacteroidia; Bacteroidales.